This 340-nucleotide ribosomal RNA is filed under the name Salmonella enterica subsp. enterica serovar Infantis. RNAcentral describes it as "bacterial SSU rRNA". It matches the Rfam family "Bacterial small subunit ribosomal RNA", at positions 1 to 339 of the family's 1533-position model. The record is from RNAcentral. Lineage: Bacteria; Pseudomonadati; Pseudomonadota; Gammaproteobacteria; Enterobacterales; Enterobacteriaceae. RNAcentral also lists the same sequence under 1 other name.
AAAUUGAAGAGUUUGAUCAUGGCUCAGAUUGAACGCUGGCGGCAGGCCUAACACAUGCAAGUCGAACGGUAGCACAGAGAGCUUGCUCUCGGGUGACGAGUGGCGGACGGGUGAGUAAUGUCUGGGAAACUGCCUGAUGGAGGGGGAUAACUACUGGAAACGGUGGCUAAUACCGCAUAACGUCGCAAGACCAAAGAGGGGGACCUUCGGGCCUCUUGCCAUCAGAUGUGCCCAGAUGGGAUUAGCUUGUUGGUGAGGUAACGGCUCACCAAGGCGACGAUCCCUAGCUGGUCUGAGAGGAUGACCAGCCACACUGGAACUGAGACACGGUCCAGACUCC